AGCUUCGUGGUCCAAAGGAUAGGGCAAGCGCUUUCUAGGCGCUAAGAUGUAGGUUCGAUUCCUGCCGGGGCUA
Non-coding RNA from Tritrichomonas musculus, 73 nucleotides. The record is from the annotation of a GenBank genome assembly. Lineage: Eukaryota; Parabasalia; Tritrichomonadida; Tritrichomonadidae.